RNAcentral lists this ribosomal RNA (290 nucleotides) under bacterium PD136. RNAcentral's name for it is "partial 16S ribosomal RNA". It matches the Rfam family "Bacterial small subunit ribosomal RNA", at positions 82 to 375 of the family's 1533-position model. The record is from RNAcentral.
UCAUGGGCGGCGAGCGGCGGACGGGUGAGUAAUGCCUGGGAAUAUGCCUUGAUGUGGGGGAUAACUAUUGGAAACGAUAGCUAAUACCGCAUAAUGCCUUCGGGCCAAAGAGGGGGACCUUCGGGCCUCUCGCGUCAAGAUUAGCCCAGGUGGGAUUAGCUAGUUGGUGAGGUAAAGGCUCACCAAGGCGACGAUCCCUAGCUGGUCUGAGAGGAUGAUCAGCCACACUGGAACUGAGACACGGUCCAGACUCCUACGGGAGGCAGCAGUGGGGAAUAUUGCACAAUGGG